Molecule: ribosomal RNA, 776 nt
Filed under: uncultured Neocallimastigales
Lineage: Eukaryota; Fungi; Neocallimastigomycota; Neocallimastigomycetes; Neocallimastigales
Description: partial large subunit ribosomal RNA
Rfam family: Eukaryotic large subunit ribosomal RNA
Source: RNAcentral
UACGACUACAUAUCAGGCAUAUCAAUAAGCGGAGGAAAAGAAACUAACAAGGAUUCCCUUAGUAACGGCGAGUGAAGCGGGAAGAGCUCAAAUUUGAAAUCUUCAAGGCUUUACCUUGACGAAUUGUAGUUUAAAGAAGUGUUUUCUGUUGAAGUUUUGGUAAAAGUUCUUUGGAAUAGGACAUCAUAGAGGGUGAGAAUCCCGUAUUUGACCAGUUAUCUUCAGCUGUGUGAUACACUUUCAAAGAGUCGGAUUGUUUGGGAAUGCAGUCCAAAAUGGGUGGUAAAUUUCAUCUAAAGCUAAAUAUUGGCGAGAGACCGAUAGCGAACAAGUACCGUGAGGGAAAGAUGAAAAGAACUUUGAAAAGAGAGUUAAACAGUACGUGAAAUUGUCAAAAGGGAAGCGUUUGACACCAGUGUUGUUUUCUCGAAAAUCAAUUAAAAAGAGUUGGAUUUUGUGUUGUAUUGACCUUAACAGCUUGCUUCACUCUUUUCCAGCUUUUUUUAAUGCACUUUUCGUUUAACAAGUCAACAUCAGUUUCUUUUGUUGUAAAAGGGUCAUUGGAAGGUGGCUUUCUCUUCGGAGAAAGUGUUUAUAGCCUUUGAUCUCUGCAAUCGGAGAGACUGAGGUCUGCAGCGUAGAUCCUUCGGGGUUAGAUACAUUUGUGCUAAGCUACAGCUUUUCAUAGACAACUUGUUGACUAUGUUUAGUCUUGUGACUUACCCGCUUAUGCUAUUUUACCUACGCUUAGGAUGUUGAGCGCAUGUCCUCUCUCU